RNAcentral lists this ribosomal RNA (465 nucleotides) under uncultured bacterium. RNAcentral's name for it is "bacterial SSU rRNA". It matches the Rfam family "Bacterial small subunit ribosomal RNA", at positions 338 to 795 of the family's 1533-position model. The record is from RNAcentral.
CCUACGGGUUGCAGCAGUGGGGAAUAUUGGGCAAUGGGCGCAAGCCUGACCCAGCGACGCCGCGUGAGGGAAGAAGGCCCUCGGGUCGUAAACCUCUGUCAGGAGGGAAGAAGUGGGUACCGGUUAACAGCUGGUGCCUUUGACGGUACCUCCAAGGAAGCACCGGCCAACUCCGUGCCAGCAGCCGCGGUAAUACGGAGGGUGCAAGCGUUAUUCGGAAUCACUGGGCGUAAAGCGCGCGUAGGCGGCCUCGUAAGUCAGAUGUGAAAGCCCUCGGCUCAACCGAGGAAUAGCAUUUGAAACUGCGGAGCUAGAGUUCGGGAGAGGGUGGCGGAAUUCCAGGUGUAGGAGUGAAAUCCGUAGAUAUCUGGAGGAACACCGGAGGCGAAGGCGGCCACCUGGACCGAAACUGACGCUGAGGUGCGAAAGCGUGGGUAGCAAACAGGAUUAGAUACCCUAGUAGUC